UAGAUCUUUCUUGUAGUGUUCAAGUGUUUUUCUAAAACUAGCUACCUAGAGAAGAUUUGGUGGUGUUUUACUUCUAAGGAUUAUUGGAAGUGGAGCAAAAUACUACACUAAGGAGAGUAAAUCUUGAUGCAGGGAUAGAAAGUGAGGACGAUGGUCCUUUUACUGGUUUUGAUGGUUGAUAGACCAUCUGCUGCAGGAUUUAUGCUUACUCUAUGGAGCAAGUCUCAUUUAUGUUAAUCGCUUUUAUUAUGUAUGGUGAUGUGUGUAAACUUAAUAGAUAUUACUAUGUUAAUUUAGGUGCCGUCUGUGGCAUAUAUUUGGUACACCUAGUGUGUACAUAUGUUGUAAUGAAAACUAUGUUUCUAUUUUAUUUAAUAAUAUAUCACCUCGAGGUA
This is a long non-coding RNA of Corylus avellana, 395 nucleotides long. RefSeq lists it as uncharacterized. Lineage: Eukaryota; Viridiplantae; Streptophyta; Magnoliopsida; Fagales; Betulaceae. The record is from RefSeq and is a predicted model, not a curated record.